UGGGUACAUGCAAAGUUCUAUGUUUAAUUUCUUCAAAAUACAUACAUUUAGUGCUGCAUCCUAUAGCUAGCACUUUGAAAUACCUCAUGUUUAUGAAAAUACAUAGCAAUUAAAUUAUGCAAAAAUGGAAGACUCAUUACUUAGGAGCUGAUGAACUAGGCAACAGCUCAUCUACAUGAUGAGCAGCCUUCAUCUAAUGGGCUUUAUUACAACACUGCAACAUCACAACUAAAGGAUAUGCAUUCUUUUUUGAGUGAAUAUGAAAAUGGAACAUAAACCAAAUCUCAAAAAUUCUAAAGAAUGAAAUCAUGCCACAUAUCUUCUCUGAACACCAUGAAAGCAAGCUAGAGGUGAGGCAUGGUGGCCUCUGCCUGUAUUUGGCCUGGGGCAAGCAGAAGGUUCCCAUAUUAAAAACCAGCCUGGGUAACCCAACAAGAUCCCUAUAAAAAAAGUCUGUGGAUACAGCUCACUCAUAGAGGGCCCUUAGGUUCCAUUCACCUCCAGCAUCUUAAAACUAAAUAAAUAUUUAAAUUAAAAAUAACAUGUGUCAAAGAAAAAAAAAUCAUAAUGAAAAUUAGACAACUUUUUUUAAAGGCAGGACAAUAGUUUUAACUGAAUGCUGAAUACCUAAUAAUAAUGAAAAAAAUAAUGAAGCAGAUACAACUGUGAGACUGAAAUGUUAG
This 683-nucleotide long non-coding RNA is filed under the name Marmota monax (woodchuck). Lineage: Eukaryota; Metazoa; Chordata; Mammalia; Rodentia; Sciuridae. The record is from RNAcentral.